UUAAAAAUGAUAAAAUUUAAUUGUGUCAAGAAAAACAAACUCGGGUCCCGACAAGUAGUGCCGAACUUAAUUGUGUCGAGAAGAGGUGGAAUAGUUCCGAACUCGACAGCGAGAAGAGGCCGAAUAGUGCCGAACCGCUGAAGUAGUGAAGUCAGUAGACUCACAACCAAUCUACAAUUGAACCAAAAAAUAACAAAUUUUAAAUUAAUUACUUAACUAAAUAUAAUUUAAUUAAACCAAAAAAUAAUUAAUAAAAUCUCACCUCAGUGGGAUUGGGGAAUCGGGAUCACUGGACUGUAGACAAUGCCACAGUGGGAACCGGGAUUUGGGAACAGCCGAACCUCGGGAGGUGGCCCGGUGGGACCGUGGGACUGGGAGCCUGGGGCUGGGAGGAGGUCGGGUGUCGCCUGUCGGGUCCGUCGGCCGUCGGGACUUGGGAUUUGGGAACCGGGAACCCCGAGGCCCGAGGAGGCCGCCGGCCGGAGCGGCGGAGGAGCUGAGGUCUGACGAGAGGACGGGGCCACCGCCGGCGCCGGUCACAGCCUCACGGGAGGCCGAGGACGGCGAGUCGGCGACGUCGGCGAGAAGAGGAUGGGACUGAGGCCUCACCGCCUCGGCCCUCGGUCGCUCGCCGCGGAGUCGGAUGUCGGAGGAGCCGAGGACGGCGACUCGGAGACGGAGUCGGCGAGCCGGCGAGGACGCUGGACGCCGAGGAGAGGACGGAAGUCACGGGACUCUGCACGGACGCACAGUGGACCGGACGUCGGCGAGGAGAGCUAGAGAGGGUUUUGCAAGCCGAAUAGCCGAUCUGCCCUGCCGAGUGCCGAGACCGAGUGCCGAGAACCGGAGAAGGUUCCGGCAUUAAAAAGGCAGAGAAGGGGAGACUGGAGAGUCGGACUGUCGGAGAGAAGGGGGGAGCCGGGGAGGAAGAAGCCGUUGCCCACUUGCCCGUUGCUUGUCGAGUGUCGACGACUCGACCGCUCGACCACCGACCACGCCAUCGCCCGUCGCCCGUCGCCAGUCGCCGCAGUCGGCCUCAGCCUUUCACCGUUUUACGUCGCGUCGCCGCCGCCCAAACCCGCUGCCCACUCCGCC
RNAcentral lists this long non-coding RNA (1095 nucleotides) under Phoenix dactylifera (date palm). Its description in RNAcentral is "long non-coding RNA (PDAC_LNC000471)". Lineage: Eukaryota; Viridiplantae; Streptophyta; Magnoliopsida; Arecales; Arecaceae. The record is from RNAcentral.